RNAcentral lists this long non-coding RNA (453 nucleotides) under Pan troglodytes (chimpanzee). Its description in RNAcentral is "long non-coding RNA NONPTRT011764". The record is from RNAcentral. Lineage: Eukaryota; Metazoa; Chordata; Mammalia; Primates; Hominidae.
CGACAGGCACCGCCCGGACGGUGGCAUCCUUGAAAAGCAGGUCUUGGCCAUGAUAGUUGGAGGAGUCGAACAUUUUGAACCCGUUCUUAUUGUGGUCGUCUCCAAACAGGUCCUGGAAGCACCGCAAGCAGACGACCUGCUUCUCACUGGGCUCAGGCAGGGUCACCCGCCCAGUGCCGCUAGCUGCAAAUUGCUUUACAUACAGUGACCCAAAGAGCAAAUAUCUCCCCACAAACCUAAACAAUUUCGAGAGGGACUUGUGUUCUGCAACCAGUCACAGAAUAUCAGGUGAGCUGGGCGUGUCUUCACCGACCCACCCGCCCAGGGACGCUGCACUCCUCUCCACCCUGCUCAGAAUCACUAGAAUGACCGUUCUGUGGCUGCAGCCCUAAAAGAGCUACUAAAAAGACCAGAAGUGGUAUGAGAACUUACAAAUACAAAUAUAAAUAAAGG